GACCAUAGGUGGUUCUAGCAAAUACCAACCCAACCGCCACCCAUUUCAUAUCCUUCCUUCUUUCAAGCUUUCUCCCACUGUACUUCUUCUCCUUACCAUCAUUUCCAUAUUUGGUUCCAUCUUACUUUAACUCUCUUUGUCUUUCCUUUUCCAUGGAUUCCUUUCUUCUUUUUCCUUUUCUGCAAACCCUUUUUUUUCUCUUUGGCUGCUGAGAAAGCCUUCAGAAUGGUUAUUAGAACUUCUGUUGUGUUACCCAUCUGAUACGAUUGGUAUAUACUCUUGUGGGUGUUGUUGAUUUGUUGUUUUUCUCUUUCAAGAUUGAAGCAACUACAGUAUGUCACUUGGGUUUCAAAUUUUCUUUCAAAUUUUUAUUUUCCUGCGUUUUCUCGGAAGCCAAACAGGAAGUUUUUCUGACUACACAGUUAAUUAAAUAGGGCUGAAGAAAUGGCCUCUGCUAAUUCAUUAGCUUCCUUGACUAAAAUUUCUCCAUUUUUCUCGCCACAAAGAAGAUAUCAAUUGAUUAUUCCUCAAUUCGGUCAAUAUUGGUCUGUAAAGCCUUGUACUUGGGUUUCUACCACAAUCUGCAACAACCGAAGCCCUAAAAGUGCUAAUUUUGUUGUUCCGAAGCCAAGUAAAGGCAGAAUUCGAGAGUUUAGGCUAUUCAGAUCGGUAGAAUUGGACCAUUACAUAACAAGUGACGAUGAAGAUGAAAUGAGUGAAGGGUUUUUUGAGGCAAUUGAAGAACUUGAGAGAAUGACAAGAGAACCCUCUGAUAUUCUUGAGGAAAUGAACGAUAGGCUCUCUGCGAGAGAGUUACAACUAGUACUGGUAUACUUCUCUCAAGAGGGAAGAGAUUCAUGGUGUGCGCUUGAGGUGUUUGAGUGGUUAAGAAAGGAGAAUAGGGUCGAUAAAGAGACGAUGGAUCUUAUGGUUUCGAUUAUGUGUAGUUGGAUAAAGAAGUUGAUAGAAGGGGAUCAUGAUAUCGGGGACGUGGUUGACCUAUUGGUGGAUAUGGAUUGUGUGGGGUUGAAGCCAAGCUUUAGUAUGAUUGAAAAGGUGAUUUCUUUGUAUUGGGAGAUGGGACAGAAGGAAAGAGCUGUUUCAUUUGUGAAAGAGGUUUUGAUACGGGGAAUUGCCUAUUCGAAAGAUGAUGGAGAAGGUCAAAAGGGAGGCCCAACUGGGUAUCUUGCAUGGAAGAUGAUGGUAAGCAUGUAUUUCUUCAAUUCUAACUAUAUUUUUCGGUUCAUCUUUAGUUGGACGAUUGGGUGGUUAGUGCUGUUGUUUCUCUUCAUAUUUUGGAUUGCAUAAUUUGUCUCUUAGGUGCAUUUUGUCUCUUGUUUACAUUGCAUCGCUAGAAUAUGUGAGUUGAACUUGCUUGGACUUUAUUCAUUUAAUUUGCUGGACACUGCUAGAAUAAUGAUUGGAAUUUCUCAGUCUCCUUCCUACUAUUGUGUAAACUUUCUGGGAUAUUUAAUGUUUUCUUUUUUAGUGAUGCGGAACUAUUUACAAAUUGUUUUCCUUUGCAGUGUUCUAAAAUAUACCAUUUGAUGGUCUGUUGUGUUAAAAUUGGUUAAAAUUGAUGCUUAUUCUAUGACCAGUGCUGAUUUUAUAUCUAUAUUAUGCAAUUCAUAAUUAAAUCAUUGAGCCCAAAUGUAUACAAUGUCUCCUACAUAACAUUACUACCAUGUGUUUUACACCACCCCCACUCCCAACACCACCCCCCACCCCCCCCUGUAAAGCAUGUGAGCUAAAAAUAAAUUAAACCUCAAGGAUAAGUCUCCUUCACUGCUCAAGCUUGAAAUAAUAGUUCAUGAACUUAUUAUUGAUUGUAGGAGCAUAUCAAUAGCUUUCCCAUUUUUUGACCUAUGUCUUUUGAGCAUUUUCUACUUCGCUUCAGUCAAUUGGUUGAAUUUAAGCAAAAUGAAUGUGAGUUGUAAUUAACAACUUUAGAAUUUUCUUUUUUCCUGUUUUGUAUGAAUUUUCUGUAAAGCAGAAAUUUCUUCUGUUGUCUUAAUGAAAGCUUGGAGUCUGUGUCAGGUUGACGGAAACUAUAGGGAUGCUGUCAAAUUGGUUAUCCAUCUUAGAGAAUCUGGGUUGAAGCCAGAGGUCUACUCCUGCCUAAUUGCAAUGACAGCUGUUGUGAAAGAGCUAAACGAAUUUGCAAAAGCUUUACGCAAAUUGAAAGGUUUUGCAAAGACUGGUGUGAUAGCUGAACUCGAUGCUGAAAAUGUAAGCAUUAUUGAGAAAUACCAGUCAGAUCUUCUAGCUGAUGGAGUAUGUUUGUCAAGUUGGGUGAUUCAGGAGGGAAGCCCUUCACUUUAUGGUGUAGUUCAUGAGCGGCUUCUUGCUAUGUAUAUUUGUGCUGGUUGCGGACUAGAUGCUGAAAGACAGUUGUGGGAAAUGAAACUUGUCGGUAAGGAGGCUGAUAGAGACCUUUAUGAUAUUGUUUUAGCCAUCUGUGCCUCUCAAAAGGAGGUCAGUGCAAUAGCAAGAUUACUUACUAGAAUAGAGGUUACAACCUCUCUCCAGAAGAAAAAAACAUUAACAUGGUUGUUGAGAGGUUACAUAAAAGGAGGACAUUAUGAUGAGGCUGCAGAAGUGCUAAUUAAAAUAGUGGAUUUGGGUUUAUGUCCAGAAUAUUUAGAUAGGGUGGCUGUGCUGCAGGGACUGAGAAAAAGAAUCCAACAAUGGGGAAAUGUGGAAUCUUAUCUUAAGCUUUGCAAGCGUCUUUCAGAUUCAAAUUUGAUUGGACCUUCUCUUGUAUAUCUGUAUAUAAAAAAAUACAAGCUCUGGAUCAUGAAAAUGCUUUGAACGACUCCUAUAAUCCUAUGAAGUGCGUAGAAGUUGAACCCAGAUUUUUUCCCAAAGGUCUUGUGGGUCAAUAACGUAUAGAAUGAACAUUGUUUUUCCAGGAGUUUUGAAAUAUAAAUUUUGUAUAGAUAUGAAUGGCUUCAGAGCAGUGCAGUGAUAUUCUGUGCUUGAGUCUCUGAUGUAGAUGAAAUGGGGAUACAUAUCAAGUGCUUUGUUCAUGGGGUUAUUUAAAUACUUGUACAUAUGGUGGAUGUUGUAAACACAAUGAUGGAUUCUAGUAACUACCAUAUGUUCUAUGGGUAUGUUAUGUAUAUUUCAUAUCUUCUGAUGUUUUGCAUUCCCGUGUAUGGACCUUUGUGUCAACUGCCUAUUUAAGAUUCUUCAUUUCUGGUUAGGUGGAAGAACCUAAAUUUGCUCCUUUAGGUUUUGAUCUUUAUCGCCAAAUUUGUGCAUUUGCACAUCUUUUUAAAGUUUUCUCAUGUUUAAACUUGUGUUAUGACUAUUGAUAUUCAUCUGAAUAGCCAGACAACUAGUUAUCUUUAGGUUCUUCUGUCAUGUAAUGAAUUGCCUUCCCUUGAAGCCAACGUAUUCUGAUUUAAAGGAGAAUCUGAGAUAUUAGCCAGUUCAUUGGGCAGGACAAGUGUGGCUUGAAUAAUUGAGCCGGCCUGAGUUGUCCUUGUUUGACCCAAUUCCCUAAUGAACGUUGACGAUACUAUUUUUUAAUUAAAAAUCAAAAUUUCACUCAAAUUAUAAAAUUUAUUUGCAAAUAAAACUAAUAUAAUAAUUAUGAGAAUAUUG
RNAcentral lists this unclassified non-coding RNA (3609 nucleotides) under Hevea brasiliensis (rubber tree). Lineage: Eukaryota; Viridiplantae; Streptophyta; Magnoliopsida; Malpighiales; Euphorbiaceae. The record is from RNAcentral.